This 1963-nucleotide long non-coding RNA is filed under the name Aedes aegypti (yellow fever mosquito). Its description in RNAcentral is "lncRNA AAEL023744". The record is from RNAcentral. Lineage: Eukaryota; Metazoa; Arthropoda; Insecta; Diptera; Culicidae.
CAACCUAGCAAAGAAAAUCAAAUUUUGACUUCGCAUUACUUGUGAAAAAUCUUACCGCGUUUGGUGUUCCCGCAUUUGAUAUUUGCGUUUCAAAUGCACACAGCAAUAUAGUAAUAACAACAUCAACAAGUCAUGUAUACGUUCUAGAAACGCGGUCAAAACCUGAUUUUUCUCCAAAUUUUUGACAUAUUGAAUCCAUAAAUGGUACACUUACUCUAUUGCAAUUGCAUCGCAUUGAACUUCUAUGUGAGCGUCUCACCAUUCCACGUUGUGCAUUACUAGGCUUGUACCCUCGAAUAGUCCUCCGUUUACUCGUCUUUUAAAACGGUCGGCUGGAGCAGAAACACAGAUUCUCCGCGAAGGCACGAUUUGUUAUUUAUUUUAAACGUUAAUUGUGGCACCGGAGCAACCGUCAACCGUUGUGAACCCUUUUUUGAAUAGGAAGACGAGGAGGGGAGUUGUAGGUAACUAGUUGUCUACGUUGGUGACACAUGCAGCAAACAAUGAUCCAAGUGCCAACAGCAACCAUUACUAUGGCGGUGGGAAACAGCCUUCACUGUUUAAAUUGAUUUAUUUGCAAGGUAGUGCUAACGUUUGCCGUGCUUUGUCUAUUUACAUGGUGUUAGGUAAAUAUAAUUUUACAAAUGUUCUUACAAAUGAAAUAAUCCUGCAUGCAUAUGCAGUGAAUUCAACAAUAUUGCUCAUAUUUGAAUUUGAGUGUUUUUGUUCGAAUUACAAAACUUGAAGUUCAAAUUCGAAUCCAUAAAAUGAUAUCGAAAGUCAUAACAAAAUGCCCAUAAACUACGUGGUAAUUAAGGAGUGGGAUGAAUAAGACCCAAUAUCCAUUAAAAGUCAUGCCGGGGGGAGUAAUUUCGCGUGGUCGACCAAAUGGUAUAGUAUUGUUUAUCGACUGUGUAACUUGCUAGAUUUCCAAUCCAAAGUAUGUUGUGUCCAGCAAACAACAUACAAAUUCAUGCAAUAUUAACAAUCAUUAUUCUCCAAUUAAUAACUUUGGCAAAUUCUUGUAAAAACACGCUGGAGAGAUCAAGUUUCAAUAUGAAUGUAAAUUUUAAAGCAGAAGAACAAGCAAAAUGACGGUAAUAUAUUGUCACCAGUAAGUCGAAAGAAAAUCCCAACCUCUCUGAAAAGAUUCUCAACCGGAAGAGAAUCAAAACCGCCCUCCACAUCCAAACCGACAAUCCAUCACACUUGACUAUGAUUUGGGAGGUUAGAGGGCUACGCAAAUCAUUCAACCUUCAGUGCUGCCUUUCCGGCUUGGGUCCUUUUUCCCAUUCACACCGGUAGGUAUGAAGCCUGGUAUCUACGCAAACGACGCACGUUCAGAUUGAUUGCUCGCCCCCUCCAAAACGAUGAAAGGAAGUGAUGAUUCCGUUUCGGUACGUUUUUUGUCACCAAGCGAUAAGGAAUGGAUCUCGGUCGCCCCAGGGUCGGAGGUGAUUAAGGUAAAUAUGCCAAGCUGAACCCAAGGGCGAGAUCAAAGCAUAAGCUUGAGGUCAUCCAUUCGUUUUCAGGUGGAUUCUCGUUCCAUGCGCAAUGCAAAUACGUUUUGGGGUUGACCAUUAAGUUGGUAUGAAAUGCACUAUGCGGUGUAUGAUUCAAUAAUAUACUUCACAUUUAUAGCUCUAGAAUAUUCUCCAGAUGAAUUGUUCAGAAUAUAUGAAUAUAUGAAGAUUCUCCCAUAUCCAUUCGUUCGAAUGGAAUCGUCCGGAGUUUUUUGAGGUCCAUUGGAAAUGUCCACCAGAUAACAGCUCAUAGAAGUGAGUUGAUCCCACCCUAGUUUCUCGGAAUCUAAAACAGUUUUAUAUUAAGUGGUUCUCUGCCUGACUUCAUCUAUACGAAACAUAAAGUCAGAGCUGAAAAUCUAUUACAUACACACUUAAAUUAUUUUACGGAUUCCUGCAAAAUCUCAACAGCUGAAAAGUUCAGUGAAAUAAAUUAACGG